ACGGAAGGCAGCAGUGGGGAAUAUUGCGCAAUGGGCGAAAGCCUGACGCAGCGACGCCGCGUGAGGGACGACGGCCUUCGGGUUGUAAACCUCUUUCAGCAGGGAUGAAGCGAAAGUGACAGUACCUGCAGAAGAAGCGCCGGCUAACUACGUGCCAGCAGCCGCGGUAAUACGUAGGGCGCAAGCGUUGUCCGGAAUUAUUGGGCGUAAAGAGCUCGUAGGCGGUCCGUCACGUCGGGAGUGAAAACCCGGGGCUUAACCCUGGGCCUGCUUUCGAUACGGGCAGACUAGAGUAUGGCAGGGGAGACUGGAAUUCCUGGUGUAGCGGUGAAAUGCGCAGAUAUCAGGAGGAACACCGGUGGCGAAGGCGGGUCUCUGGGCCAUUACUGACGCUGAGGAGCGAAAGCGUGGGGAGCGAACAGGAUUAGAUACCCUGGUA
RNAcentral lists this ribosomal RNA (439 nucleotides) under uncultured Actinomycetales bacterium. Its description in RNAcentral is "bacterial SSU rRNA". It matches the Rfam family "Bacterial small subunit ribosomal RNA", at positions 341 to 792 of the family's 1533-position model. The record is from RNAcentral. Lineage: Bacteria; Bacillati; Actinomycetota; Actinomycetes; Actinomycetales.